Long non-coding RNA from Paramacrobiotus metropolitanus, 922 nucleotides. RefSeq lists it as uncharacterized. The record is from RefSeq and is a predicted model, not a curated record. NCBI's taxonomy places the organism in Eukaryota, Metazoa, Tardigrada, Eutardigrada, Parachela, Macrobiotidae. The transcript is spliced from 3 exons.
GCGUAAUGGAUCCCAAGUAUGCGACUGUGCUGUGCCACUGUGCGGCUGAUGGGCUGAUCGUUAAGAAGAGAUUUUUCUAAUUCGUUGUUUUACUGGCCCGUACAGUUCUGAUCAAUUUAACAUUUAAAGACGCCAGCAACCAACUGGAAUACUAUGUAUUGCAUUAUGGGAACUGCAUUGCCGUUGCUCAUUUGAAUAGUUAAGGACCAAUUUAACAUUCCUGACCAUCCACAAUCGGCCGCGCCAAAUUUAUUGUGUAUCCGUAUUGACAAUCGGACGGUACUGAACACUGGAUUCCGGAGCAUUAUUUUAAACCUGAUGUUGUUACCUCUUAAACUAGCUCGAUUUCCGGGGAUAUACACCACGCAAGGAUCAUCUGUAUUCAGAAGUGUGCCACUCGGAAAGCCCUAUCAGUCCAAGGAAGAGUGUACUUAUAUUAAUCAUUCUUCAUGCGUAAUGAAUGCUUAUGAAAAAUACUGCGUGGAUAAAUUAAAAUUGAUUGUAUAAGCAUGGCAGAACUAUACUAUUAACAGUAUAGUACUGCCAUGGUAUAAGAUAUUUUACUUUUUCAUCGCUUUAUUUGUUUAUGGUUCGCGUACUGCUUUGACCAUUACUGUACUCGUGUUCGCGUACGGUUCGCGUGCUCUUUCCGACUUUGAUUAGUCUCCCAGAAAAGAAGUACAUGCGUACAUGCAAUUUUACACUUUUUUCCGUCCAGACAAUAUACUUAUUGUCAGAUCUAUGGUAUACACUGGACAAACGUACUCACACUGAAGCAAGCUCCCAAAAGAAAGAUAGCGCAUCCGCAGAGAAUAAAUCCGGAGCUGCAUACAGUGUUGGCGUUAAUAUCCAGUUCAACCGGAAACGAUGACUGGGCAGCCGGCCUGGGGAGAAGCAUUCCUGCUGCCGCUCCCACGUUGAA